Molecule: ribosomal RNA, 407 nt
Filed under: bacterium enrichment culture clone ALO1_GLFRUDD03GKQ4S
Lineage: Bacteria
Description: bacterial SSU rRNA
Rfam family: Bacterial small subunit ribosomal RNA
Source: RNAcentral
GAGUUUGAUCUUGGCUCAGAUUGAACGCUGGCGGCAUGCCUUACACAUGCAAGUCGAACGGCAGCACGGGAGCUUGCUCCUGGUGGCGAGUGGCGAACGGGUGAGUAAUGCAUCCGGAACGUAUCCUGGAGUGGGGGAUAACGUAGCGAAAGUUACGCUAAUACCGCAUAUUCUGUGAGCAGGAAAGCGGGGGACCUUCGGGCCUCGCGCUCUUGGAGCGGCCGAUGUCGGAUUAGCUAGUUGGUGAGGUAAAGGCUCACCAAGGCGACGAUCCGUAGCAGGUCUGAGAGGAUGAUCUGCCACACUGGAACUGAGACACGGUCCAGACUCCUACGGGAGGCAGCAGUGGGAAUUUUGGACAAUGGGGGCAACCCUGAUCCAGCCAUGCCGCGUGAGUGAAGAAGGCC